UCUACGGGCGGCAGCAGUGGGGGAUAUUGCACAAUGGGGGGAACCCUGAUGCAGCGACGCCGCGUGAGUGAAGAAGUAUUUCGGUAUGUAAAGCUCUAUCAGCAGGGAAGAAGAAAGCCGGUACCUGACUCAGAAGCCCCGGCUAACUACGUGCCAGCAGCCGCGGUAAUACGUAGGGGGCGAGCGUUAUCCGGAUUCACUGGGUGGAAAGGGAGCGUAGACGGCCAUGCAAGCCAGGGGUGAAAGCCCGGGGCCCAACCCCGGGACUGCCCUUGGAACUGCAGGGCUGGAGUGCGGGAGGGGCAGGCGGAAUUCCUGGUGUAGCGGGGAAAUGCGUAGAUAUCAGGAGGAACACCGGCGGCGAAGGCGGCCUGCUGGACCGCGACUGACGUUGAGGCUCGAAAGCGUGGGGAGCGAACAGGAUUAGAUACCCUGGUAGUC
This 441-nucleotide ribosomal RNA is filed under the name uncultured bacterium. RNAcentral's name for it is "partial 16S ribosomal RNA". It matches the Rfam family "Bacterial small subunit ribosomal RNA", at positions 338 to 795 of the family's 1533-position model. The record is from RNAcentral.